GGAGAGGUGGCCGAGUGGUCUAAGGCGCACGCCUGGAGAGCGUGUAUCCCUCAAAAGGGGAUCAAGGGUUCGAAUCCCUUUCUCUCCG
This 88-nucleotide transfer RNA is filed under the name Lentimicrobiaceae bacterium. Its description in RNAcentral is "tRNA-Ser". It matches the Rfam family "tRNA". Rfam says of the family: Transfer RNA (tRNA) molecules are approximately 80 nucleotides in length. Their secondary structure includes four short double-helical elements and three loops (D, anti-codon, and T loops). The record is from RNAcentral. Lineage: Bacteria; Pseudomonadati; Bacteroidota; Bacteroidia; Bacteroidales; Lentimicrobiaceae. RNAcentral also lists the same sequence under 1 other name.